Molecule: ribosomal RNA, 315 nt
Filed under: Triticum aestivum (bread wheat)
Lineage: Eukaryota; Viridiplantae; Streptophyta; Magnoliopsida; Poales; Poaceae
Description: partial small subunit ribosomal RNA
Source: RNAcentral
ACCUUCUCCCCUUCCUUGCGCAUGCCUGAAACCCUAGCAACGGCACUCGAGGAGUGCUGGUGGUGCACCGAGCGCUUCCUCUAUUGGGGCGGCGGCCCCGACCUCAUCGUCAAUGAUGCCACGCUGCUCAUCCACCAUGGCGUCAAGGCCGACGAGGAGUCCGGCAAGGUCGCCGACCCAGAGUCCACCGACAACCUCGUCAUGCUCGCCAUCGUUCGCACAAGUACCGCAAGAUGGAGGAGAAGCUCGUCCGCGUCUCCGAGGAGACCACCACCGGCGUCAAGCAGAUGCAAGAGUCCGGCACUCUCCUGCUCC